GGCUCUGUAGCUCAGGGAUAGAGCGCCGCUCUCAUGAGGCGGAGGUCGAGGGUUUAAAUCCCUCCAGAGCCA
This 72-nucleotide transfer RNA is filed under the name Candidatus Pacearchaeota archaeon. RNAcentral's name for it is "tRNA-Met". It matches the Rfam family "tRNA". Rfam says of the family: Transfer RNA (tRNA) molecules are approximately 80 nucleotides in length. Lineage: Archaea; Nanobdellati. The record is from RNAcentral.